CGUCACUAAUUCCCGCCCGGGGCUCCGGUGUCGGCAUCAUAUCCUCUGCGUAGCAAACCGACGAUCUGAGGGAGAUGGGAGGUUGCUUCGUCGCAUUUCGGUUCAUUUCUUCUUUGAGGAUCCUAUACCAGCUAUACAUUCGUGUCGGGAAGAAUAUUAAGACGGGAGAUUUAUGGUUCUGCAUUGGAAGAAGUUUCUUUUGUUUAUUGAAAUGGAAUUGAAAAGUUUUAUUUCUUCUUCCUUUUUGCAGGGUGAGGGGAGUGUAGCUUAUUCAAAAUGUCAAAGGCUUUUUGAUUCGAUUGGCAGCCUUAGAAAUGUGGGGUAAAUAAAACGUCAUUAUGGUGAAAAAGAAAAGAUCAAAGGCCUUGGAAUGAAGGUUAAUUUCUAUUA
Molecule: long non-coding RNA, 390 nt
Organism: Momordica charantia (bitter melon)
Lineage: Eukaryota; Viridiplantae; Streptophyta; Magnoliopsida; Cucurbitales; Cucurbitaceae
Source: RefSeq, a predicted model, not a curated record